GCGUAGCUGCGUAAGGGAUAGUAACGGAAAUCCUUUUUUGCGCCGGCCUUUGUGGUUGGAAAAAAGAUUGCAGUGGAUAGCCCGACCCGGG
RNAcentral lists this small RNA (91 nucleotides) under Epilithonimonas arachidiradicis. RNAcentral's name for it is "Chryseobacterium arachidiradicis Flavo-1 RNA". It matches the Rfam family "Flavo-1 RNA". Lineage: Bacteria; Pseudomonadati; Bacteroidota; Flavobacteriia; Flavobacteriales; Weeksellaceae. The record is from RNAcentral.